UUUUUUUUUGUCUAUUUAAGACACGUGGCUUAAAAUAAGUUAUUCUACUUAUAAAAUUGUAAAGGAAGGAGUUAGGAAAUUGUACCUGCUAUGUGUUAGAUUUUUCUAGCUAAGUCAUUUCGGAAAUAAUCUAAAUAUAUAGAAGGCUGGUUACUCUUCUGGAAGUCUGAUGUUAUUGUUUCUCAGACCUAGUGGCAAUGCAGAAGCAGGCUGUUGAAUUAAGUGGAGCUGAAACUAUGGCUUCCUGCACCACACCUGUUAAUCACUGAAAUGAAAGGCCAAUUCAAACACUACCAGUUGUCCAAUGCUGCCUGUGUUACCAUGCAUUCACUUAUGACUCUCGUGGGAGCAUCACUGCUGUGAAAUCUAUAGAAUUAGAAACUGCCCCAAAAUUCUGCCCAGAAGAGAAUGCAAACAUUUCACUCAAAUGAGCAAGGGCAGGGAAAUUGAUGAGGCUACUAAUUAUUCUUGAAAGAGCCAGAGAGGAGUGGAGAACAUUCAGGCUUCAUAAUGUAGUGUGGAGCCAGGAAUGAAUUUCCCUUAACUUUAAAAGGCUUCGGAUCCACAGACAUGAGGGCUGUGAAUUAGAAACAGGUCUCCUCCUCUAUUGCAAUCCUAACAUUUCCCUUGUGGAUUAAGGCAGUUGGAGUAUAAAUUUUUGAAAAUUGUGAAAUUUUCUAUUUUCUUUCCAACAGUGAAUAUCUGCAUAAUAGGAGGAUAGAGACCAUAACUGCUUUGACUCAUCUUUUGUCUUCCUGGCUUUUAUGAAAAUUAAAGGUUUUUUUUUUUCCCUAAAUACCAAAAAGGAACACCAUGAUAGUUCAAACAGUAAAGGCUUUCAGAGAAAGGCUCCAUUACUCAAUAUUUAAGUUAACUAUGCAAAUGAGAAAUCCUGGGCCUAAGUGAAAUUACUCUGGACUUUAAAAAGGCCAAGUAGUAUUUGGUUUUUAACCCCUAGAUGUGUCAAAGGUUCAAGUCAAAAAUUUCAGGAAAAAUUAGAACAAAUUCUUUGAUUAAUAUACUGAGACAAAUGGCAACUAUUUUAAGCUCCAUGCAAGGGAAAAUAAACUAUUCACACUAUCUUCUGCAUCCCUCCUUAAGAUAAUAAAGAAGAUAAUAGGAAGCAAGGGCCUGAAAAAAAGCAAUACCUGGUGAGAGCAGACUCACUUUCCCAGGAGACCUGGGGUUCACUCUGCCCACGUGUAUUUGCAUUUUUAAUUAGACAUGUUUAAAGACUGAUAAACUUCCAAGCCUGAAGGAAUGAAAUUUUAUUCUUGGAAAAUCAAGUGGCAUGACUGGCAUUUAAGAUGGGAAAGAUUUAAAUGUGUGCCAGAGAAGGAUGAGUGGCUUGAUAUCCCCCCAAAUUACCAAUGAGAUAGCAAAAAAAUUCAAUUAAAGCUCACCAUUUGCUGAAUGUUGUUGUAGGUCGUCCUAUGACAACUAGCACUUACUCUCAAAUUGCUUGUAAUUCAUGAGUGUCAUAAGAAAUACAUGGCAAUCUUAUGAGAAAAUGUUUAUUUUGACACAGCAUAGGAGAUGUCAUGUGAAAAUAUGAAGUUAGGGAAACCAAUUCUCCAUGCUAAGAUGGUGAAGAAAAUUUAUGGUAAUUAAACAAUCACAGUUACUUGCAUUGUCUAAUUAUAGUAACAUUCCUAAUGGCUGAAGUAUGUUUUUCUGCUUUUGAAUUGACCCUGAAGUCUUUCAUUAUUAGUUUAAAGAGGAGCAUAAUCAAUCCUGAGAAACGCUCUCAUUUCUCACCUACGUCACUUCUUGACCUUCAUGGCCCUCUCACAAAGGGCGGUUGAUAGCAUAAAAAUCAGUUUAACAUACUGGCCAUAAUUUCUCUCUUUUAUAUCUACUAUAAAAUGUUUAAACUACCCCAGGAAGUCAGACAGAGCUUGGUGUACCAGGAUAAAUGUAAGGAAGGCUUGGUUAUUAAAACCAUGAGGAAUGAUGGAUGGAUGGCCUCAUUUGAAGCAAGGAAGUGUGUUGGAAACAUACUCAACCAGGACAGAAAAGACACGUUCUUCCCAGAAGCUUACCAAAGCUUGUUGUAGGCCAAUACAUUUCAUUUUGGUGACCUCCCACAAUGGAACCAUGGCUCAAUACAAUGGAGUAAUAUUUUCCUUGGUUUCUGAAAGUAAAUACAAACUCUGGGUACCAUCUGGAUGUGCAGGUGCAACUGAGGGUCUUCAUCCUGUACCCAUUCAGCCAGGACAGCACAUCCUGUCCAAGAUCCAGGCUUCAGAGAGGCAGGCAAAGGCAGGAAACUGUUUCCCAGGCAGAAUGUGUCAUUCAAGGGACUUGUAAAUGUUCUCUGGUUAUUCAUUUGUAGAACGACCAGGUCUGGAUUACAGGACAUUAUUCUAAACUAGAGCAGAAAAUCUAUAAUUGAAGCAAUCCAGAUAGAUUCCAGGAUAAGGAUGGUGACUUAAAUCUUUAAAGAGUUUUGUUGUUUUUGUUUUAUAUACUAGAGAGCUGCUAGAUCAGUCCAGCCUAAAUCCAUAGAACAGCAGAUGACCCACUGUCUUGGCCAAGUUAUUGAUUAAUGACAUUUAAAAAUUUUUACAUAAUAGGAGUUCCCGUCGUGGCACAGUGGUUCUGACUAGGAACCAUGAGGUUGCGGGUUCGAUCCCUGGCCUUGCUCAGUGGGUUAAGGAUCCGGCGUUGCUGUGAGCUGUGGUGUAGGUCACAGACGUGGCUUGGAUCUGACAUUGCUGUGGCUGUGGUGUAGGCUGGCAGCUACAGCUCCCAUUCGACCUCUAGCCUGGGAACCUCCCCACGCCUAGGGAAGUGGCCCUAGAAAAGGAAAAAAGACAAACAAAAAAAUUUACAUAAUCUUCAUUUUGUUGACAUGUAUACUUCAGAGCUGAUAACAUGCAUUGUGCUCCUCUUUUUUUUUUUUCCAGUUUGUAUCUAAAUCAGUAAAUGAUAGGUGGUUUUCUGGCUAUUUCCUUGCAUGUGAGAAAAUAAACUGCCAAGCAGCUAUUGGCUCAGAAAAUUU
RNAcentral lists this long non-coding RNA (3004 nucleotides) under Sus scrofa (pig). RNAcentral's name for it is "lncRNA (ENSSSCG00015008116.1)". The record is from RNAcentral. Lineage: Eukaryota; Metazoa; Chordata; Mammalia; Artiodactyla; Suidae.